Molecule: ribosomal RNA, 498 nt
Filed under: uncultured bacterium
Lineage: Bacteria
Description: partial 16S ribosomal RNA
Rfam family: Bacterial small subunit ribosomal RNA
Source: RNAcentral
AUUGAACGCUAGCGGCAUGCCUUACACAUGCAAGUCGAACGGUAACAGGUCUUCGGAUGCUGACGAGUGGCGAACGGGUGAGUAAUACAUCGGAACGUGCCUAGUAGUGGGGGAUAACUACUCGAAAGAGUGGCUAAUACCGCAUGAGAUCUACGGAUGAAAGCAGGGGAUCGCAAGACCUUGUGCUACUAGAGCGGCCGAUGGCAGAUUAGGUAGUUGGUGGGAUAAAAGCUUACCAAGCCGACGAUCUGUAGCUGGUCUGAGAGGACGAUCAGCCACACUGGGAAUGAGAAAAGGCCCAGACUCCGACGGGAGGCAGCAGUGGGGAAUUUUGGACAAUGGGCGCAAGCCUGAUUCAGCAAUGCCGCGUGCAGGAUGAAGGCCUUCGGGUUGUAAACUGCUUUUGUACGGAACGAAAAGCCCCGGGUUAAUACCCUGGGGUCAUGACGGUACCGUAAGAAUAAGCACCGGCUAACUACGUGCCAGCCGCCGCCGUAA